GAUGAACGCUGGCGGCGUGCCUAAUACAUGCAAGUCGAGCGAACAGACGAGAAGCUUGCUCCUCUGACGUUAGCGGCGGACGGGUGAGUAACACGUGGAUAACCUACCUAUAAGACUGGGAUAACUUCGGGAAACCGGAGCUAAUACCGGAUAAUAUAUUGAACCGCAUGGUUCAAUAGUGAAAGACGGUCUUGCUGUCACUUAUAGAUGGAUCCGCGCUGCAUUAGCUAGUUGGUAAGGUAACGGCUUACCAAGGCGACGAUGCGUAGCCGACCUGAGAGGGUGAUCGGCCACACUGGAACUGAGACACGGUCCAGACUCCUACGGGAGGCAGCAGUAGGGAAUCUUCCGCAAUGGGCGAAAGCCUGACGGAGCAACGCCGCGUGAGUGAUGAAGGUCUUCGGAUCGUAAAACUCUGUUAUUAGGGAAGAACAAAUGUGUAAGUAACUGUGCACGUCUUGACGGUACCUAAUCAGAAAGCCACGGCUAACUACGUG
Molecule: ribosomal RNA, 497 nt
Filed under: uncultured bacterium
Lineage: Bacteria
Description: partial 16S ribosomal RNA
Rfam family: Bacterial small subunit ribosomal RNA
Source: RNAcentral